This 779-nucleotide ribosomal RNA is filed under the name uncultured bacterium. Its description in RNAcentral is "bacterial SSU rRNA". It matches the Rfam family "Bacterial small subunit ribosomal RNA", at positions 62 to 825 of the family's 1533-position model. The record is from RNAcentral.
UCGACGCGGUUUUCCCGCAGGGAAAACUGAGUGGCGAACGGGUGAGUAACACGUGGGUGACCUACCUUCGAGUGGGGGAUAACGUCCCGAAAGGGACGCUAAUACCGCAUAACAUCCUGCUCUUGAAUGAGCGGAGAUCAAAGCCGGGGAUCGUAAGACCUGGCGCUUGAUGAGGGGCUCGCGUCCGAUUAGCUAGUUGGUGAGGUAAUGGCUCACCAAGGCAACGAUCGGUAGCCGGCCUGAGAGGGCGGACGGCCACACUGGGACUGAGACACGGCCCAGACUCCUACGGGAGGCAGCAGUGGGGAAUUGUUCGCAAUGGGCGCAAGCCUGACGACGCAACGCCGCGUGGAGGAUGAAGGUCUUCGGAUUGUAAACUCCUGUUGCCAGGGACGAAUGGCCACGACCUAACACGUCGUGGUGUGACGGUACCUGGUGAGGAAGCCCCGGCUAACUCUGUGCCAGCAGCCGCGGUAAUACAGAGGGGGCAAGCGUUGUUCGGAAUUACUGGGCGUAAAGGGCGCGUAGGCGGCCUGUUAGGUCGAACGUGAAAUCCCCGGGCUCAACCCGGGAACUGCGUCCGAUACUGGCAGGCUUGAAUCCGGGAGAGGGAUGCGGAAUUCCAGGUGUAGCGGUGAAAUGCGUAGAUAUCUGGAGGAACACCGGUGGCGAAGGCGGCAUCCUGGACCGGCAUUGACGCUGAGGCGCGAAAGCCAGGGGAGCAAACGGGAUUAGAUACCCCGGUAGUCCUGGCCCUAAACGAUGAAUGCUUGGUGUGG